GCCAUGGGAAAUGCUAAGAUUUCUUUCGUCUUGUGCAAAAUCCGUGGGUGAUGAUGGCUGAGAAUAGUCUGGGUUUUGUAUCAGGAUCUAAACAUGAGCCUAUGUGCUCGGUGCCUGAGUGGAGUCGAGCUUCCCAGCUGACUCCACUCAGGCAAUCAACCACCUCUACGGCUCCCGGACAGCUGACGAACAUCAUUCUGAUUACACACCUCUGCAAUAAGAACCGGCUCAUCCUUCCACUCUCUGCCAGAUCGUUGAACCAAGACACCACAUUCAGCUGUCCGGGAUCCCCGCCAUCCUCCUUCCCCUCCGGCUCUCCCCAGACCAUUCAUCACCGGUUUUUCCCUGCCUGGACCCCCCCCCGUUUCUGGCCAAACCCUCCCACUACACCAGCUGCUCCUGCACCCUGGAGUUCCCCCCCCACCGUGCCAUUAUUCACCCCCCCAACAA
This is a long non-coding RNA of Acanthochromis polyacanthus (spiny chromis), 450 nucleotides long. RefSeq lists it as uncharacterized. The transcript has 3 exons. The record is from RefSeq and is a predicted model, not a curated record. NCBI's taxonomy places the organism in Eukaryota, Metazoa, Chordata, Actinopteri, Pomacentridae.